RNAcentral lists this ribosomal RNA (2899 nucleotides) under Klebsiella pneumoniae. Its description in RNAcentral is "23S ribosomal RNA". It matches the Rfam family "Bacterial large subunit ribosomal RNA". The record is from RNAcentral. Lineage: Bacteria; Pseudomonadati; Pseudomonadota; Gammaproteobacteria; Enterobacterales; Enterobacteriaceae.
UUAAGCGACUAAGCGUACACGGUGGAUGCCCUGGCAGUCAGAGGCGAUGAAGGACGUGCUAAUCUGCGAAAAGCGUCGGUAAGGUGAUAUGAACCGUUACAGCCGGCGAUGUCCGAAUGGGGAAACCCAGUGCAAUUCGUUGCACUAUCGUUAACUGAAUACAUAGGUUAACGAAGCGAACCGGGGGAACUGAAACAUCUAAGUACCCCGAGGAAAAGAAAUCAACCGAGAUUCCCCCAGUAGCGGCGAGCGAACGGGGAGCAGCCCAGAGUCUGAAUCAGCUUGUGUGUUAGUGGAACGGUCUGGAAAGUCCGACGGUACAGGGUGAUAGUCCCGUACACCAAAAUGCACAGGCUGUGAACUCGAAGAGUAGGGCGGGACACGUGGUAUCCUGUCUGAAUAUGGGGGGACCAUCCUCCAAGGCUAAAUACUCCUGACUGACCGAUAGUGAACCAGUACCGUGAGGGAAAGGCGAAAAGAACCCCGGCGAGGGGAGUGAAAAAGAACCUGAAACCGUGUACGUACAAGCAGUGGGAGCACCUUCGGGUGUGACUGCGUACCUUUUGUAUAAUGGGUCAGCGACUUAUAUUCUGUAGCAAGGUUAACCGUAUAGGGGAGCCGCAGGGAAACCGAGUCUUAACUGGGCGUUAAGUUGCAGGGUAUAGACCCGAAACCCGGUGAUCUAGCCAUGGGCAGGUUGAAGGUUGGGUAACACUAACUGGAGGACCGAACCGACUAAUGUUGAAAAAUUAGCGGAUGACUUGUGGCUGGGGGUGAAAGGCCAAUCAAACCGGGAGAUAGCUGGUUCUCCCCGAAAGCUAUUUAGGUAGCGCCUCGUGAACUCAUCUUCGGGGGUAGAGCACUGUUUCGGCUAGGGGGUCAUCCCGACUUACCAACCCGAUGCAAACUACGAAUACCGAAGAAUGUUAUCACGGGAGACACACGGCGGGUGCUAACGUCCGUCGUGAAGAGGGAAACAACCCAGACCGCCAGCUAAGGUCCCAAAGUCAUGGUUAAGUGGGAAACGAUGUGGGAAGGCACAGACAGCCAGGAUGUUGGCUUAGAAGCAGCCAUCAUUUAAAGAAAGCGUAAUAGCUCACUGGUCGAGUCGGCCUGCGCGGAAGAUGUAACGGGGCUAAACCAUGCACCGAAGCUGCGGCAGCGACACUAUGUGUUGUUGGGUAGGGGAGCGUUCUGUAAGCCUGCGAAGGUGUGCUGUGAGGCAUGCUGGAGGUAUCAGAAGUGCGAAUGCUGACAUAAGUAACGAUAAAGCGGGUGAAAAGCCCGCUCGCCGGAAGACCAAGGGUUCCUGUCCAACGUUAAUCGGGGCAGGGUGAGUCGACCCCUAAGGCGAGGCCGAAAGGCGUAGUCGAUGGGAAACAGGUUAAUAUUCCUGUACUUGGUGUUACUGCGAAGGGGGGACGGAGAAGGCUAUGUUAGCCGGGCGACGGUUGUCCCGGUUUAAGCAUGUAGGCUGGUUAUCCAGGCAAAUCCGGAUAAUCAAGGCUGAGGUGUGAUGACGAGGCACUACGGUGCUGAAGUAACAAAUGCCCUGCUUCCAGGAAAAGCCUCUAAGCAUCAGGUAACAUCAAAUCGUACCCCAAACCGACACAGGUGGUCAGGUAGAGAAUACCAAGGCGCUUGAGAGAACUCGGGUGAAGGAACUAGGCAAAAUGGUGCCGUAACUUCGGGAGAAGGCACGCUGGUGUGUAGGUGAAGUCCCUGCGGAUGGAGCUGAGACCAGUCGAAGAUACCAGCUGGCUGCAACUGUUUAUUAAAAACACAGCACUGUGCAAACACGAAAGUGGACGUAUACGGUGUGACGCCUGCCCGGUGCCGGAAGGUUAAUUGAUGGGGUUAUCCGUAAGGAGAAGCUCUUGAUCGAAGCCCCGGUAAACGGCGGCCGUAACUAUAACGGUCCUAAGGUAGCGAAAUUCCUUGUCGGGUAAGUUCCGACCUGCACGAAUGGCGUAAUGAUGGCCAGGCUGUCUCCACCCGAGACUCAGUGAAAUUGAACUCGCUGUGAAGAUGCAGUGUACCCGCGGCAAGACGGAAAGACCCCGUGAACCUUUACUAUAGCUUGACACUGAACAUUGAGCCUUGAUGUGUAGGAUAGGUGGGAGGCUUUGAAGCGUGGACGCCAGUCUGCGUGGAGCCAACCUUGAAAUACCACCCUUUAAUGUUUGAUGUUCUAACGUUGGCCCCUGACCGGGGUUGCGGACAGUGUCUGGUGGGUAGUUUGACUGGGGCGGUCUCCUCCCAAAGCGUAACGGAGGAGCACGAAGGUUAGCUAAUCCUGGUCGGACAUCAGGAGGUUAGUGCAAUGGCAUAAGCUAGCUUGACUGCGAGCGUGACGGCGCGAGCAGGUGCGAAAGCAGGUCAUAGUGAUCCGGUGGUUCUGAAUGGAAGGGCCAUCGCUCAACGGAUAAAAGGUACUCCGGGGAUAACAGGCUGAUACCGCCCAAGAGUUCAUAUCGACGGCGGUGUUUGGCACCUCGAUGUCGGCUCAUCACAUCCUGGGGCUGAAGUAGGUCCCAAGGGUAUGGCUGUUCGCCAUUUAAAGUGGUACGCGAGCUGGGUUUAGAACGUCGUGAGACAGUUCGGUCCCUAUCUGCCGUGGGCGCUGGAGAAUUGAGGGGGGCUGCUCCUAGUACGAGAGGACCGGAGUGGACGCAUCACUGGUGUUCGGGUUGUCAUGCCAAUGGCACUGCCCGGUAGCUAAAUGCGGAAGAGAUAAGUGCUGAAAGCAUCUAAGCACGAAACUUGCCCCGAGAUGAGUUCUCCCUGAGACUUUAAGUCUCCUGAAGGAACGUUAAAGACGAUGACGUUGAUAGGCCGGGUGUGUAAGCGCAGCGAUGCGUUGAGCUAACCGGUACUAAUGAACCGUGAGGCUUAACCU